RNAcentral lists this small RNA (673 nucleotides) under Rattus norvegicus (Norway rat). RNAcentral's name for it is "uncharacterized LOC102553129". Lineage: Eukaryota; Metazoa; Chordata; Mammalia; Rodentia; Muridae. The record is from RNAcentral.
CAUUGGGUAGAGGUGGGUCAUGUGGCUGUAUCCUUGCAAAGGAGGCUGGGAAAUGUAGUCCAGCCCUGCCGCAGCCGAAAGAGGAAGGAGUCCUGCAGUGCCCAAGCCUACUCUUCUCCUGAGAACGUCUGUUUUUGCGUAUUGCUUUAAGCAGGCUUGCUUGAGCAUCCUCACAAUAUGGCGACUGGCUUUCCAAGAAGAAAGUGACCUAGCAAGAGGAGAAGGAGAGCCACGGUGUAUUUUAUUUCUGGUCAAAAGGGGAUAAAAGUCCAAGCGCCCACCGAUGGGCGGACGCAUAGAAUGUGGUACAUCGACACAGUGGGACAUUAUUUGGUCAUGGAACAGAACAGAAUAAAGUAUGGAUGAUGCUAUGACAUAAAUGAGUCUCGAAGUUGUGCUAAGCAAAAGGAUCCAGACAGAAAGCAUACGUCGCCGUUUCUAUUCACUGCAAAUGUCCCGAAUACACAGAAAGUUGAUUAGAGGUUUCCUGGAGCUACGGUGUAGACCAAAAGGAGAAGUAACAAUGACAGAAUAUUCCAGAAUUAGACAACAAGGAUGAUUGCACAGUCUUGUGAAUAUGCUAAAAAACCGUUGCAUUGCACAAGUGUACUGGAGAGCUACCUGUGACGUAUGGGUUUUAACUCAACUGAAAAAAUCAACCAUUUUAAUUCCU